Equus caballus (horse) is the source of this 647-nucleotide non-coding RNA. NCBI's taxonomy places the organism in Eukaryota, Metazoa, Chordata, Mammalia, Perissodactyla, Equidae. The record is from RefSeq and is a predicted model, not a curated record.
GGGCGGAGCCUGAGCAGGGGGACCCAGGAAGGUCGGUGCGCCGCCGCCGCCGCCAUCUCCAAGCUGGCCACCAGGUGAGCGCCUGGACAGGCAUUUCGGUGGAAUCUCCAGAUGGUCCAGGGAUGCAGGCUGCAGACCUUUGGGCCAAAGCCAACCCACAGCCAUGUUUUCUGUGGUCCAGAGAGUGGGUCCCAGCGGUGUGGCCAACUUGAAAGGGGACAUUUGAAGCAGUCACGCCAAGGAGUUAAGAGCUCCCCUAUUUAUUAGGGUGGCUUUGGGCACAUUUCUCUGGACCUCCAUUCCCUCAAAGGAAAAAAUGAGGGUGAUGAUCAUGCUUGUGGAGAAGAGAGUUAACUCCCCAGGCCUGAGUUGCUCAAACCCUGGACAUUCCCAACAAGAGCCCAUUGCCGUGCCUGGUCCUUGACCAGCCUGGGAAUUGAGCUCUUCGAAUGUUCUGAUAACGUUUUGCAUGGCUGGGCUCUUGAACCACACUGUACCAGUUUGUCCAGAUAGGUCGUGCAAACAACGUAAUUUGUGGCUGAACACCUGCUUUCCUUCUGGGGGUCUGGAGCGUCGGGAACUGUCGUCAGUCAUUCAAGUCCUGUGUGCCUAUGUGAUGGGCCCCCAAUAAAAACCCUGGACUCCUA